GGACUGGGCGAGAAGUUUAGUCC
Molecule: unclassified non-coding RNA, 23 nt
Filed under: unclassified sequences
Also listed under: 1 other name
Description: Aptamer that binds to aminoglycoside antibiotic
Source: RNAcentral